GUCGAGCGAACUGAUUAGAAGCUUGCUUCUAUGACGUUAGCGGCGGACGGGUGAGUAACACGUGGGCAACCUGCCUGUAAGACUGGGAUAACUUCGGGAAACCGAAGCUAAUACCGGAUAGGAUCUUCUCCUUCAUGGGAGAUGAUUGAAAGAUGGUUUCGGCUAUCACUUACAGAUGGGCCCGCGGUGCAUUAGCUAGUUGGUGAGGUAACGGCUCACCAAGGCAACGAUGCAUAGCCGACCUGAGAGGGUGAUCGGCCACACUGGGACUGAGACACGGCCCAGACUCCUACGGGAGGCAGCAGUAGGGAAUCUUCCGCAAUGGACGAAAGUCUGACGGAGCAACGCCGCGUGAGUGAUGAAGGCUUUCGGGUCGUAAAACUCUGUUGUUAGGGAAGAACAAGUACAAGAGUAACUGCUUGUACCUUGACGGUACCUAACCAGAAAGCCACGGCUAACUACGUGCCAGCAGCCGCGGUAAUACGUAGGUGGCAAGCGUUAUCCGGAAUUAUUGGGCGUAAAGCGCGCGCAGGCGGUUUCUUAAGUCUGAUGUGAAAGCCCACGGCUCAACCGUGGAGGGUCAUUGGAAACUGGGGAACUUGAGUGCAGAAGAGAAAAGCGGAAUUCCACGUGUAGCGGUGAAAUGCGUAGAGAUGUGGAGGAACACCAGUGGCGAAGGCGGCUUUUUGGUCUGUAACUGACGCUGA
This 707-nucleotide ribosomal RNA is filed under the name Priestia megaterium. Its description in RNAcentral is "bacterial SSU rRNA". It matches the Rfam family "Bacterial small subunit ribosomal RNA", at positions 61 to 749 of the family's 1533-position model. Lineage: Bacteria; Bacillati; Bacillota; Bacilli; Caryophanales; Bacillaceae. The record is from RNAcentral.